This 301-nucleotide ribosomal RNA is filed under the name uncultured bacterium. Its description in RNAcentral is "partial 16S ribosomal RNA". It matches the Rfam family "Bacterial small subunit ribosomal RNA", at positions 509 to 807 of the family's 1533-position model. The record is from RNAcentral.
CAGUAGCCGCGGUAAUACGUAGGGUGCAAGCGUUAAUCGGAAUUACUGGGCGUAAAGCGUGCGCAGGCGGUUUUGUAAGACAGAGGUGAAAUCCCCGGGCUCAACCUGGGAACUGCCUUUGUGACUGCAAGGCUAGAGUACGGCAGAGGGGGAUGGAAUUCCGCGUGUAGCAGUGAAAUGCGUAGAUAUGCGGAGGAACACCGAUGGCGAAGGCAAUCCCCUGGGCCUGUACUGACGCUCAUGCACGAAAGCGUGGGGAGCAAACAGGAUUAGAUACCCGCGUAGUCCCUGUCUCUUAUAC